GUGGCGUGCCCGAGUCAAGGACUACACUGAUGAAGUAGAUACGGAGACAAUAUCUCCCGCCCCCA
RNAcentral lists this transfer RNA (65 nucleotides) under Ptyas mucosa (Dhaman). RNAcentral describes it as "tRNA-Ile". RNAcentral also lists the same sequence under 1 other name. Lineage: Eukaryota; Metazoa; Chordata; Lepidosauria; Squamata; Colubridae. The record is from RNAcentral.